RNAcentral lists this ribosomal RNA (253 nucleotides) under uncultured bacterium. Its description in RNAcentral is "partial 16S ribosomal RNA". It matches the Rfam family "Bacterial small subunit ribosomal RNA", at positions 524 to 776 of the family's 1533-position model. The record is from RNAcentral.
UACAGAGGUCUCAAGCGUUGUUCGGAUUCAUUGGGCGUAAAGGGUGCGUAGGUGGCGCGCUAAGUCAGGUGUGAAAUUUCGGAGCUUAACUCCGAAACUGCAUUUGAUACUGGCGUGCUUGAGGACUGGAGAGGAGACUGGAAUUCAUGGUGUAGCAGUGAAAUGCGUAGAGAUGUGGAGGAACACCGAUGGCGAAGGCAGCCCCCUGGGCUAACACUGACGCUCAGGCACGAAAGCGUGGGGAGCAAACAGG